This 590-nucleotide ribosomal RNA is filed under the name Carabus macrocephalus cantabricus. RNAcentral describes it as "partial large subunit ribosomal RNA". It matches the Rfam family "Bacterial large subunit ribosomal RNA", at positions 1921 to 2748 of the family's 2925-position model. The record is from RNAcentral. Lineage: Eukaryota; Metazoa; Arthropoda; Insecta; Coleoptera; Carabidae.
UUUUAAAUGGCCGCAGUAUUUUGACUGUGCAAAGGUAGCAUAAUCAUUAGUUUUUUAAUUAAAAGCUUGUAUGAAAGGCUGGACGAGGUAAAAUCUGUCUCUAUUUAAAUUAAAAUAGAAUUUAACUUUUAAGUUAAAAGGCUUAAAUAUUAUUAAAAGACGAGAAGACCCUAUAGAUCUUUAUAAUUUAUUAAAUUAAAUUAAUUUAGAAAUAUUAAUGUUUUAUUUGAUUAAAUUAUUUUAUUGGGGUAAUAAAAAGAUUGAAUUAAUUCUUUUUUGUAAUAAACAUUAAUUUAUGAAUAUUAAUGAUCCAGUUUUACUGAUUAUAAGAUUAAGUUACCUUAGGGAUAACAGCGUAAUUUUUUUAGAGAGUUCAUAUCGAUAAAAAAGUUUGCGACCUCGAUGUUGGAUUAAAGAUUAUUUUAGGUGUAGAAGCUUAAUAAUUUUGGUCUGUUCGACCAUUAAAUCUUUACAUGAUCUGAGUUCAGACCGGCGUAAGCCAGGUCGGUUUCUAUCUUUAAUAAAAUAAAAUAUUUUAGUACGAAAGGACCAAAUAUUUGAUAUAUUUAUAUUUAAUUUAUUGAAUAUUA